Molecule: ribosomal RNA, 484 nt
Filed under: uncultured bacterium
Lineage: Bacteria
Description: partial 16S ribosomal RNA
Rfam family: Bacterial small subunit ribosomal RNA
Source: RNAcentral
AUUGAACGCUAGCGGGAUGCUUUACACAUGCAAGUCGAACGGCAGCGCGGACUUCGGUCUGGCGGCGAGUGGCGAACGGGUGAGUAAUGUAUCGGAACGUGCCCAGUAGCGGGGGAUAACUACGCGAAAGCGUAGCUAAUACCGCAUACGCCCUACGGGGGAAAGCAGGGGAUCGUAAGACCUUGCACUAUUGGAGCGGCCGAUAUCGGAUUAGCUAGUUGGUGAGGUAACGGCUCACCAAGGCGACGAUCCGUAGCUGGUGUGAGAGGACGACCAGCCACACUGGGACUGAGACACGGCCCAGACUCCUACGGGAGGCAGCAGUGGGGAAUUUUGGACAAUGGGGGAAACCCUGAUCCAGCCAUCCCGCGUGUGCGAUGAAGGCCUUCGGGUUGUAAAGCACUUUUGGCAGGAAAGAAACGUCGCGGGCUAAUACCCCGUGGAACUGACGGUACCUGCAGAAUAAGCACCGGCUAACUACGUG